This 253-nucleotide ribosomal RNA is filed under the name uncultured bacterium. Its description in RNAcentral is "partial 16S ribosomal RNA". It matches the Rfam family "Bacterial small subunit ribosomal RNA", at positions 524 to 776 of the family's 1533-position model. The record is from RNAcentral.
UACGUGGGGUGCGAGCGUUGUCCGGAAUUAUUGGGCGUAAAGAGCUCGUAGGCGGCUUGUCGCGUCGGAUGUGAAAGCCCGGGGCUUAACUCCGGGUCUGCAUUCGAUACGGGCAGGCUAGAGUUCGGUAGGGGAGAUCGGAAUUCCUGGUGUAGCGGUGAAAUGCGCAGAUAUCAGGAGGAACACCGGUGGCGAAGGCGGAUCUCUGGGCCAAAACUGACGCUGAGGAGCGAAAGCGUGGGGAGCGAACAGG